GUGAAGGCAACUUUCAAGGUUAGUUUGCUCAACCAGGAUGGGCAACCGGUUCCCAAACGAGGAUGGGGAUUCAACAAAUUCAUCAAGAGGAAAGAUUUGGAGGAAUCAUCGAUUCUGACAGAUGAUUGCUUCCGCAUCAGGUGUGAUGUCACAUUCACGAAGAAGAUCCACACCUUUACCAGUGAGACACGGGCUGCGCGGUACGUGGUCGUCCCGCGUGACUUGCACCGCCAACUGCUCCACCUCUUGACAAGCAGGCAGGCAGGGGACGUGACUUUUGAUGUCGACGGUGAGCUGUUCCCGGCGCAUAGGUACAUGCUUGCUGCUCGGUCAUCGGUCUUCAUGGCUGAGCUCUUUGGUCCAAUGAAAGAGAAGGAGGCCACCUGCGUACGGAUCGAUGAUAUGGAAGCUAAGGUAUUCAAAGCCAUGCUUCACUUCAUCUACACCGACGCACUGCCAGAGAUUGACGAAAGUGAAGCUAUGGAGAUGGCACAACAUUUGCUGGUAGCGGCAGACAGGUAUAACCUCGACAGGCUCAAGUUGAUGUGCGAGGAGACCUUGUGCAACUACAUCAGCAAAGGCACAGCAGCCACCACGUUGGCGUUGGCUGUGCAGCAUGGCUGUGAAGGCCUCAAGGCGGCAUGCUUCUCGUUCCUCGCUUCACUCGACAACCUCAAGGCAGUCAUGGCGAGUGAUGGCUUUUCUCAUCUGAGGAGCAGCUUUCCCUCCAUCUUAGAGGAGCUGGUCACAAACCUUGCUCCCUGUUGA
RNAcentral lists this ribosomal RNA (768 nucleotides) under Triticum aestivum (bread wheat). RNAcentral's name for it is "partial small subunit ribosomal RNA". Lineage: Eukaryota; Viridiplantae; Streptophyta; Magnoliopsida; Poales; Poaceae. The record is from RNAcentral.